AUUGAACGCUGGCGGCAUGCCUAACACAUGCAAGUCGAACGGCAGCACAGUGCGUAGCAAUACGUAUGGGUGGCGAGUGGCGGACGGGUGAGGAAUGCAUCGGAAUCUACCCAGUAGCGGGGGAUAACCUGGGGAAACUCAGGCUAAUACCGCAUACGACCUAUGGGUGAAAGCGGGGGACCGUAAGGCCUCGCACUAUUGGAUGAGCCGAUGCCGGAUAGCUAGUUGGUAGGGUAACGGCCUACCAAGGCGACGAUCCGUAGCUGGUCUGAGAGGACGAUCAGCCACACCGGAACUGAGACACGGUCCGGACUCCUACGGGAGGCAGCAGUGGGAAUAUUGGACAAUGGGGAAACCCUGAUCCAGCAAUGCCGCGUGUGUGAAGAAGGCCUGGCGGGUUU
Molecule: ribosomal RNA, 401 nt
Filed under: uncultured bacterium
Lineage: Bacteria
Description: bacterial SSU rRNA
Rfam family: Bacterial small subunit ribosomal RNA
Source: RNAcentral